This 450-nucleotide ribosomal RNA is filed under the name uncultured bacterium. Its description in RNAcentral is "bacterial SSU rRNA". It matches the Rfam family "Bacterial small subunit ribosomal RNA", at positions 354 to 796 of the family's 1533-position model. The record is from RNAcentral.
GUGGGGAAUCUUGCGCAAUGCGCGAAAGCGUGACGCAGCAACGCCGCGUGGGGGAAGAAGGCUUUCGGGUUGUAAACCCCUUUCAGUUGGGACGAAGCUUCUCCGGUGAAUAGCCGGACGGAGUGACGGUACCUUCACAAGAAGCACCGGCUAACUACGUGCCAGCAGCCGCGGUAAUACGUAGGGUGCAAGCGUUGUCCGGAAUUAUUGGGCGUAAAGAGCGUGUAGGCGGCCCGAUUAGUCCGCUGUGAAAGUCCAGGGCUCAACCCUGGAAUGCCGGUGGAUACUGUCGGGCUAGAGUCCGGAAGGGGCGAGUGGAAUUCCUGGUGUAGCGGUGAAAUGCGCAGAUAUCAGGAGGAACACCAAUGGCGAAGGCAGCUCGCUGGGACGUGACUGACGCUGAGACGCGAAAGCGUGGGGAGCAAACAGGAUUAGAAACCCUGGUAGUCC